RNAcentral lists this ribosomal RNA (279 nucleotides) under uncultured bacterium. RNAcentral's name for it is "partial 16S ribosomal RNA". It matches the Rfam family "Bacterial small subunit ribosomal RNA", at positions 506 to 784 of the family's 1533-position model. The record is from RNAcentral.
UGCCAGCCGCCGCGGUAAUACGGAGGAUGCAAGCGUUAUCCGGAUUUAUUGGGUUUAAAGGGUGCGUAGGCGGAAGAUUAAGUCAGUAGUGAAAUCCUGCAGCUCAACUGUAGAACUGUUAUUGAUACUGAUCUUCUUGAAUACAGUUGAGGUAGGCGGAAUAUGUAAUGUAGCGGUGAAAUGCUUAGAUAUUACAUAGAACACCGAUUGCGAAGGCAGCUUACUAAACUGUGAUUGACGCUGAGGCACGAAAGCGUGGGGAGCGAACAGGAUUAGAUA